RNAcentral lists this ribosomal RNA (427 nucleotides) under uncultured Bacillota bacterium. Its description in RNAcentral is "bacterial SSU rRNA". It matches the Rfam family "Bacterial small subunit ribosomal RNA", at positions 954 to 1382 of the family's 1533-position model. Lineage: Bacteria; Bacillati; Bacillota. The record is from RNAcentral.
AAGCAACGCGAAGAACCUUACCAGGUCUUGACUAUCCUUUUGAAUGGUCUAGAGAUAGAUCAGGCCUUCGGGACAGAAGAGACAGGUGGUGCAUGGUUGUCGUCAGCUCGUGUCGUGAGAUGUUGGGUUAAGUCCCGCAACGAGCGCAACCCUUAUCAUUAGUUGCUAACAUUCAGUUGAGAACUCUAAUGAGACUGCCAGUGAUAAACUGGAGGAAGGUGGGAUGACGUCAAAUCAUCAUGCCCCUUAUGACCUGGGCUACACACGUGCUACAAUGGCCGGUACAAAGAGUUGCGAAACUGUGAAGUUAAGCUAAUCUCAUAAAGCCGGUCUCAGUUCGGAUUGUAGUCUGCAACUCGACUACAUGAGGUCGGAAUCGCUAGUAAUCGCGAAUCAGAAUGUCGCGGUGAAUACGUUCUCGAGUCUU